UGGCUCAGAUUGAACGCUGGCGGCAGGCCUAACACAUGCAAGUCGAGCGGUAGCACAGAGAGCUUGCUCUCGGGUGACGAGCGGCGGACGGGUGAGUAAUGUCUGGGAAACUGCCUGAUGGAGGGGGAUAACUACUGGAAACGGUAGCUAAUACCGCAUAACGUCGCAAGACCAAAGUGGGGGACCUUCGGGCCUCAUGCCAUCAGAUGUGCCCAGAUGGGAUUAGCUAGUAGGUGGGGUAAUGGCUCACCUAGGCGACGAUCCCUAGCUGGUCUGAGAGGAUGACCAGCCACACUGGAACUGAGACACGGUCCAGACUCCUACGGGAGGCAGCAGUGGGGAAUAUUGCACAAUGGGCGCAAGCCUGAUGCAGCCAUGCCGCGUGUAUGAAGAAGGCCUUCGGGUUGUAAAGUACUUUCAGCGAGGAGGAAGGCAUUAAGGUUAAUAACCUUGGUGAUUGACGUUACUCGCAGAAGAAGCACCGGCUAACUCCGUGCCAGCAGCCGCGGUAAUA
Molecule: ribosomal RNA, 514 nt
Filed under: uncultured Enterobacter sp.
Lineage: Bacteria; Pseudomonadati; Pseudomonadota; Gammaproteobacteria; Enterobacterales; Enterobacteriaceae
Description: bacterial SSU rRNA
Rfam family: Bacterial small subunit ribosomal RNA
Source: RNAcentral